UUUCUCUGGAGAUUCCUGCCUACUGGAGGCCUUCUGAAGGGUGUCAUAACCUGUUGCUGCAGAAAUUGGACUUAAUAAUCCUUAUGGGUCUGUUCCAACUUGGGAUAUUCUGUGAAGACCUUGCAUUGCCACAGCAAAGUGCUGGAUGUAAUGUUUAGAGCAGAUGCCAGUAAUAGAGGUGGGGAGGAAGACUCACCUGCCUGUCCUUUUAAAUGAGCAGAUCAUUUCUUUUUGUAAUUUUGUAACUGAUGUUAUUUCCACUUUGAUGUCAUCUAUAUCAGUUUCUCAUUCUCCCUUGUCAAAUUCCCCCCCUUUAAACAUACGUUCUAGACUAUGCUGCUGUCCAUACGUCUUCAGUUGUGGUUUAGUUCUAUCUUUUAUUCACAAUAAGAAUACAUUUUUCCAGUAUAUGUACCCCUGAAUUGAUGCUGGGAGUGGUUAAGGAUGCAAGAAUCUCAUACAAUUUUAAUAAGAAACCAAGACUGCUUUUUGGCCCCGUCUGCUCUUUUUAACCAGAAUGAGUGCAUCUUCCAACUUCUACGUGUCCCUUGUCAUUUGUUCAAUGUGAGGACUUCUCCAAGGGUAAUACUAGGCACAGACACCAUACUUUCUAGGAUAUUUUUCCAUUCUCUGUCUAAUGGGGAUUUUGUGGCAUCAGAAAUACUGAUGUAAAUCAACCUUAUCCUCAACUUAGAUAAGAGCACAUUUCUCAAUGAAUCUUCUUUUUCUCUGUUUUUAUCUUGUCACAAUAAACAAUCAGCAGUCCCGAGGAAUGCUGUAAUUAAAAUAUCCUGGAGGAAUUCUUGUUGUUAUGGAUACUCUUAAGUGCACUGAAAAGUGCCAUGGGUUACUGUGAAGAAAUAAAUACUAAUAUAUAGUCUUCUGACAUUUCUUUAACCUGGUGUGGCAGGAGGGGAUGGAGUAUAUGGAACAAAGGUAUGCACUUUUAUCCAGAUAACGUGUCACAACUGGAAUACAGAGCAUUUCUUCAAUUUUUUUUUACUCUUUUUAGAAAGUACUCUUUUUAAGAAAGUAUUUUCAAAUAGCAUGAAACCCACCGUGUCAAAUGGAAAUUCAGGCUUUGAAUUUCACUGUCUUUAUCGCAGAUUCCUCUGCAGGAGUCCUCCUUCAGAGGUCACCCUCCUCAGCAUGGCUCCAGACACCUCACAAGGACCUGGUGGGUGGGUGAGCAGAUAGAUGGGGGUCUGGGCCAGCUGGGUGACUUACCUGGUAACAUGAGGUACUGAGCAGCAGAGCCAGAGCUAAUGCCUUGGUGUGCAGGGUGCCUUUCUCCUUUAUCACCUUCCGAUCUGAGAUUCGCCGUUCCUCUUCAUUUCCAGUAACGACAUUCUGGAGGGGAAUUUGUCAAACACCCUUUGAAAGUCCAAAUAAUCUAUGUCAUUUGGUUUUUCUCUCCUUGCUCUUGCUGACAGCCACAAAGGAUUCUAACAGAUUAGAGAGGACAUCUUUUUUUUUCCUUUUUUUCUUCUUAGAGAAGGAUGGGUUUGUCUUUACCAUAUUCCCUUCAUAGCUUCAACCACUAUUGCCUGUACUAAAGUAAGGCUUCUCGCUCUGCAAGCACUGCUGGGCAUUUGUGUAUGUAUGUGUAGAUAUACAUUUGCAUAUAUGUAUCUGAUAUUACUUUAUAGCUUCUUUGUUUCUGAAGAUGUAUUAAAAAGCUUUGGUAAAAAAAAGUCACUUGGUAUCUGUUCAGCCACUUAAUUUUCCAGGUGUUGUUUAUAUCCUUUAAUCAAACCAAUCUGUUUUGUUAAUUUGAUGCACUGUUAUCUAUUUUGAUACCUUUAUCCCUCAUUUUACUCCUCCUCACUGGAAAGUAAUGGUUCGACAGCGUUCACUGCUGUGAAUAU
Gallus gallus (chicken) is the source of this 1868-nucleotide long non-coding RNA. The record is from Ensembl. NCBI's taxonomy places the organism in Eukaryota, Metazoa, Chordata, Aves, Galliformes, Phasianidae.